GACAAGCUGCGGCUGAGUUUGAGCUCGGCUUUGGGCUUGUUCCCCGGGUGGGCUCUGCCCACAGCUCUGUCCCCCUCUUCCUCGGCACCGCCGGGGUGCUGGAGCACGUGGGGCGUGACUACAGCCUCGGGAUCCGCCCGGGUGACGUGCGUGUGCUGGACGGUGGCGUAGAUAACUUUCUGGUUUUGGUCCGGAGAGCUGGUCCGUGCUGGUCCAGGGGCAGAUCGGGGAAGAGCCGUGAAGCAACCCUGAAAACUGCUCUGGAACCUGGAUGUCCUGGCCGUCGGCGGAGUCCUGGCUGCGGCUGCCACUGCUCCUCCUGUGGUCUUCGAUGGGAUGAAAACGAGGGGUGGGGGGGAGAAUUAAAAACAUGGAAGAAGCAGCAAAAUUCCAGCUCUCCCCCUGCCCUCCCUCAGCGAGGGAGGGAGAGAUAAAGAGAGAACAGUUCAGUAUUGUUCCGCGUGCUCAACUUGUACCCAAAGUCAUGGCAUUUAUGAAAUUCCAAACACUGGCCUGAUUUAUGCAAUCUG
Long non-coding RNA from Calidris pugnax (ruff), 530 nucleotides. RefSeq lists it as uncharacterized. NCBI's taxonomy places the organism in Eukaryota, Metazoa, Chordata, Aves, Charadriiformes, Scolopacidae. The record is from RefSeq and is a predicted model, not a curated record. The transcript is spliced from 2 exons.